Molecule: long non-coding RNA, 1537 nt
Filed under: Heterocephalus glaber (naked mole-rat)
Lineage: Eukaryota; Metazoa; Chordata; Mammalia; Rodentia; Bathyergidae
Description: lncRNA (ENSHGLG00100051558.1)
Source: RNAcentral
CCAGGGCAGCUGGCUGCUGUGUCUCCCCACACCUGGGCGGCAGGCUCUAGUUUCUUGGCUUCUCUAGCAGAGCCCGGGAAUACCGCUGGGAGCUAGGGUCUUGGUGUCUCCCAAGAGGAGAGGUGGGCCCAGCACACAAGAGAGCUUUAACUGGGCUGGGAUGGGUGAGCAGCCCUAGCCUAGCCCCAGUGCUAGGGCGCGAGGCAAACUGCAGCCUGGAGGGGGUGGGGGGGGGGGGGUGGAGAAGGAGGCGGGGAAAGCGGGCUGGGCCCCAGGCAGAGGCAAGGGAGGGAAAAUUGAAUGUGAAUCCUGCGAGGGACCGAGCUGACAGGGGGCACCAGAGCGGCAGCGCGCUCUAGGCGCGGUCCCCUCGGCCACCCGACGAAGCCCUAGGAGGAUCGCAGGUUGGAGGGGUCGGACUCCGGGAUCUGCAGGAUGCGGCACACGGCGCGGAUCGGCCGCACCAGCUUCUGGGCCGAGGCCGUGGGUUGCGCCAUGGGACGCCGAGACUCCGUGCUGCGCCUUGGGGAGGGCCGGACCGGGGCUGGGGAGCGGGUGCCCCCGAGGGAAAGAGGGAGCCGGGCCGGGGGGAACGCGCGCCCCGGGUCGGAGAAGGCUGGGUCGGGGGGGAGGCCGAGGGGCCGGGGGAGGGGGUCGAGCCUGGAAGUGGGGCCGAUCCCCUGAGCCGAGAGAGAGGCAGCGGCUAGGGCGCAGCACCGCGCUACGCGGCUAAUGGAGGGAGAGCGCGGCGGAGAGCGCAGCAGGACCUCCGAUCGCCAUCGCCAGACGCGCAACUGAGAGCGGGGAAGCUGCUCCUCCGGUUUCCUCCUCCAGCACCCUGCGGGAAACAGGAGCCCGUGAUUCGGCGGCCCCGCCUGGGCCUGCCCCUCCUGAGCCCCGGGGGCUUCCGCCAACGCCCCGGCGAUGCCACCGGCUGCGCAAGGGGAGAAUGAGCCCUUUGUUCCCCCCUCCCCCCCGCGGCUCCCGGGCGCCUGCCGAGAGAGGCUCCCCCGGGGCAGCGUGCCAGCUUCCCAGCCGCCCCACCCUCCCGUGGGCCUGGCCCCGGAGCCCGGCAGGCGGCGGCACCCCCACUAUAGGUGCCAAGCCCGGGAACUGGAGCAAAGGGCGGGAGGGGCUGGACCAGGCCACCGUGGGGCUGGUGCCCCCCGGGGUGCUAGGGCGGGGAGGCUGGGAGGGGACAAUGCUGGAGCUGGCAGGGGCAGUCACCGGGUUCUCACGGGUCAGUGAUGGGCACUGGGACCCUCGCCGGCCCAGCCUUCGCCUGCGGGACCCCUCUCCCCUGGUCCUCUCCAGCCCGGCUGGCUGCAGUGUGCCCUCCUCAUCCUCAGCGGGCCAAGCUGUUGUUCAAGGCCCCCACCCAAGCCCCCUCCCCGGCUCGGUCCCAAUGGCACUAAGUGCUGUGCUUAGGGGCCUGGGAGGGGCUGCCUCAGAUCUGUCCGGGCUUUGGGCCUGGGUUUCACCAAGUGUCCAGCGUUGAUGGGAUGAGAGGAGCUCCACCCUGAGCUCCAGCCCGGGG